GGUUGACCUCCGGAUCAGGCAGGGAUACCCGCUGAACCUUAGCAUAUCAAUAAGCGGAGGA
Molecule: ribosomal RNA, 61 nt
Filed under: Cenococcum geophilum
Lineage: Eukaryota; Fungi; Ascomycota; Dothideomycetes; Gloniales; Gloniaceae
Description: partial LSU rRNA
Source: RNAcentral